GUAGGAAGACCUGAUGGAGGGGGAUAACUACUGGAAACGGUAGCUAAUACCGCAUAACGUCGCAAGACCAAAGAGGGGGACCUUCGGGCCUCUUGCCAUCGGAUGUGCCCAGAUGGGAUUAGCUAGUAGGUGGGGUAACGGCUCACCUAGGCGACGAUCCCUAGCUGGUCUGAGAGGAUGACCAGCCACACUGGAACUGAGACACGGUCCAG
This 212-nucleotide ribosomal RNA is filed under the name uncultured bacterium. RNAcentral describes it as "partial 16S ribosomal RNA". It matches the Rfam family "Bacterial small subunit ribosomal RNA", at positions 117 to 334 of the family's 1533-position model. The record is from RNAcentral.